This is a long non-coding RNA of Cyprinodon tularosa, 173 nucleotides long. RefSeq lists it as uncharacterized. The transcript has 2 exons. Lineage: Eukaryota; Metazoa; Chordata; Actinopteri; Cyprinodontiformes; Cyprinodontidae. The record is from RefSeq and is a predicted model, not a curated record.
CCGCUACCAAGCCCUCUGCCUGCCUGCUGCCUCUGGACCCUCCUGGUUCCCCUCCUCUGCCGCUCAGCUCAAACCACUGAACAGAGAAACCAGUCGUGACCAGUCUUGGACCUGUUUCCCCCCGAAUCAGUUCUUUAUUAACAUUGUGUAUCUAAAUAAACUGUUGAAACUUU